RNAcentral lists this ribosomal RNA (431 nucleotides) under Escherichia coli. Its description in RNAcentral is "bacterial SSU rRNA". It matches the Rfam family "Bacterial small subunit ribosomal RNA", at positions 120 to 548 of the family's 1533-position model. The record is from RNAcentral. Lineage: Bacteria; Pseudomonadati; Pseudomonadota; Gammaproteobacteria; Enterobacterales; Enterobacteriaceae.
GGUACUGCCUGAUGGAGGGGGAUAACUACUGGAAACGGUAGCUAAUACCGCAUAACGUCGCAAGACCAAAGAGGGGGACCUUCGGGCCUCUUGCCAUCGGAUGUGCCCAGAUGGGAUUAGCUAGUAGGUGGGGUAACGGCUCACCUAGGCGACGAUCCCUAGCUGGUCUGAGAGGAUGACCAGCCACACUGGAACUGAGACACGGUCCAGACUCCUACGGGAGGCAGCAGUGGGGAAUAUUGCACAAUGGGCGCAAGCCUGAUGCAGCCAUGCCGCGUGUAUGAAGAAGGCCUUCGGGUUGUAAAGUACUUUCAGCGGGGAGGAAGGGAGUAAAGUUAAUACCUUUGCUCAUUGACGUUACCCGCAGAAGAAGCACCGGCUAACUCCGUGCCAGCAGCCGCGGUAAUACGGAGGGUGCAAGCGUUAAUCGG